This 497-nucleotide ribosomal RNA is filed under the name uncultured bacterium. RNAcentral's name for it is "partial 16S ribosomal RNA". It matches the Rfam family "Bacterial small subunit ribosomal RNA", at positions 28 to 507 of the family's 1533-position model. The record is from RNAcentral.
GAUGAACGCUGGCGGCGUGCCUAAUACAUGCAAGUCGAGCGGACAGACGAUGAGCUUGCGCCUCUGACGUUAGCGGCGGACGGGUGAGUAACACGUGUAUAACCUACCUAUAAUACGGGGAUAACUACGGGAAUCCGGAGCUUAUCCCGGAUAAUAUCUUGAACCGCAUGGUUGAAUGGUGAGAUACGGCUUUGCUGUAUCUUCUAGCUGGAUCUGCGCCGCAUUAGCUAGUUGGUAAGGUAAAGGCUUACCAAGGCAACGAGGCGUAGACGACCUGAGAGACGGAUAGGCGGCCUGGGAAGUGAGACGCGGACCAGACUCCUACGAGAGGCAGCAGUAGCGUAUGUGCGGCAACGGGCGGAAGUCUUACGCAGCAACGCCGAGUGAGUGACGGAAGUCCUCCGAGCGUGAUGAUCUGCUAUUAGUGAUGAACAAAUUUGUACGUAGCUGUGCCGUGCGUGACGGUACCUGGUCAGAAAGCCACGGCUAACUACGUG